Molecule: long non-coding RNA, 1186 nt
Filed under: Phasianus colchicus (ring-necked pheasant)
Lineage: Eukaryota; Metazoa; Chordata; Aves; Galliformes; Phasianidae
Description: lncRNA (ENSPCLG00000017576.1)
Source: RNAcentral
AUGACACAACAACACACAACCGGUCCCUGCCGGCCCACCGCGGGGCGGGCUGCGACUCACGCCUGGAUGGACUCGGUGACGGAGCCGAUCUGGUUGACUUUGAGCAGCAGGCAGUUGCAGGCUUUCUGCUCGGCCGCGUGGGCGAUGCGCUUCGGGUUGGUGACCGUCAGGUCGUCGCCCACCACCUGGAUGUCCACGUGGGACAGGAAGUGCUUCCACGCCUCCCAGUCGUCCUGGUCAAAGGGGUCCUCGAUGGACACCACUGCGAUGGGGGGGCACGACCAUCAGCCUUCCCAGUAUGGACCAGUAUGGACCAGUAUGGCUCCAUGUAGCCCCAGUGCCUCCCAGUGCCUCCCAGUGCCUUCCCAGUCAUCCUGGUCAAAGGGGUCCUCGAUGGACACCACUGUGAUGGGGGGCCACGACCAUCAGCAUUCCCAGUAUGGACCAGUAUGGCCCUAUGUGGUCCCAGUGCCUCCCAGUGCCUCCAGUCCCCUCCCAGUCUGUCCCAGUGCCCCCAAUCCCCUCCCAGUUCCUCCCAGUCGUCCUGGCCAAAGGGGUUCUCGAUGGACACCACUGCGAUGGGGGGCACGACCAUCAGCCUUCCCAGUAUGGACCAGUAUGGCCCAGUAUGGCUCCACGUGGCCCCAGUGCCUCCCAGUGUCCCCAGUCCCCUCCCAGUCGUCCUGGUAAAAGGGGUCCUUGAUGGACACCACUGUGAUGGGGGGCCACAACCAUCAGCAUUCCCAGUAUGGACCAGUAUGGACCAGUAUGGCCCCAGUGCCCCCAGUCCCCUCCCAGUUCCUCCCAGUCAUCCUGGUCAAAGGAAUCCUCGAUGGACACCACUGUGAUGGGGGGCCACAACCAUCAGCAUUCCCAGUAUGGACCAGUAUGGCCCUAUGUGGUCCCAGGGCCUCCCAGUGCCCCCAGUCCCCUCCCAGUGCCCCCAAUCGCUCUCCCAGUUCCUCCCAGUCGUCCUGGUCAAAGGGGUCCUCGAUGGACACCACUGCGAUGGGGGGCCACGACCAUCAGCAUUCCCAGUAUGGACCAGUAUGGCCCAGUAUGGCCCCAUGUGGCCUCAGAGCUUCCCAGUGCCCCCAGUUCCCCUCCCAGUGCUCCUGGCUCCCCUCCCAUCACUUCCCAGUCCUCCCACUGUCCCCAGUACCCCCCUCCCAGUCCCUCCCAGUCC